RNAcentral lists this ribosomal RNA (340 nucleotides) under Anteholosticha rectangula. RNAcentral describes it as "SSU rRNA". It matches the Rfam family "Eukaryotic small subunit ribosomal RNA", at positions 594 to 945 of the family's 1831-position model. Lineage: Eukaryota; Ciliophora; Spirotrichea; Urostylida; Holostichidae. The record is from RNAcentral.
AUAGCAUAUAUUAAAGUUGUUGCAGUUAAAAAGCUCGUAGUUGGACCUCUGGGGGAUUGCCAAUGUCCGCUUCGGCGUGCGCAGCGGCGGUCUCCCAUCCUUCUGUUAACACUUCUUGGCCUUCAUUGGCUGGUUGUGGGCUCAGAUAUUUUACCUUGAGAAAAUUAGAGUGUUUCAGGCAGGCUUGCGCCCGAAUACAUUAGCAUGGAAUAAUAGAAUAAGACUUCGGUCUCCUUUGUUGGUUUGAGGGAUUGGAGUAAUGAUUAAUAGGGACAGUUGGGGGCAUUAGUAUUUAAUUGUCAGAGGUGAAAUUCUCGGAUUUGUUAAAGACUAACUUAUG